Chlorocebus sabaeus (green monkey) is the source of this 1017-nucleotide non-coding RNA. The record is from RefSeq and is a predicted model, not a curated record. Lineage: Eukaryota; Metazoa; Chordata; Mammalia; Primates; Cercopithecidae.
GUGAAAGUGCCAGGUUGAAGGAUGACCGGGUGCCAGAUUCCCACCUUCCAACUGCUGGACAGCACGCUGGCUGUAAUAGAGUGCCGUCUGAAGCUCCGUUUUCUCACAUAUGUGAAAAGAGAGGCCCAAAGAGCUCCAGGAAUUUGCCCUAUAUCAUAUGCCCAGCAGAUGGAGAGGAUUCAAACCCAGAAUUCUUAAGCAGUACCUGGGAGUUCUUCCACAAUCUUAACAAUUACCCUCCACCACCCCUUGGGCCCUCUGUCCCCAGGAGCCUGGCCAGCCAAGACUCACAUCCUCAGUAGACUCAAAGGAAACUGAUGCUUCAGAAAGAUGCCCCAUAUUUAUCCUGUGGCACUCGAAGUACCCCAGGUGGAGAUGACAUGAGGAAGAUUCAAGCUGUCAAGUUCAGUUUCCCAAGAUCUGUUCCACAGAAGAUAGGCAGAUCUCACUCCAGCAACCACUGACUGAGGGGCACUCUGGUCCCAGAACAAUGGAGAAUUCAAAUCUGAGGUGGAGAACUCAGAAACAAUGUUAAAAUCUCUCUGGAGAGUAGAAGCCUGGGAGAAAACCAAAUCAAACCUGUUCUCCCAUUGCCACCCAGAGACACUGUUAACGUGUUGAGCUCAUGGGGGACUUGUUGGCUUUUCACACUGUCAAUGUCUGUAUUAAGGAAGUAAGGCAGCCUGAAACCUCUCUCUCCUAGGUCCCAGGGUCCCCAUUCCCCUUCCAGCUGGAAACCUGUGCUGCAACCAGAGGAACCUGAAAUGGGCAAAAACACUUAGGGGACUGGGUCCUAAGUCCAGAGACCGGUCUCGUUGCAGUAAUGACAGUUCCUAGAGGGACUGCGACAUCACUACAUUCCACUCCUCGGUGGAGUGGUGGGGGACACGUGAGUGCAAUGCCCAAGUUGCCGCUUUGAGAUUCGGGAGGGGGGUCACAGGAUUGGGACCCAGGUCCUUAGAGACGCAAGCCCAAAGAGCCCAGGGAGGUCAGGCUUGGGGCGGUGGGAGGUGAGGG